GAUGAACACUGGCGGCGUGCCUAAUACAUGCAAGUCGAGCGAACAGACGAGGAGCUUGCUCCUCUGACGUUAGCGGCGGACGGGUGAGUAACACGUGGAUAACCUACCUAUAAGACUGGGAUAACUUCGGGAAACCGGAGCUAAUACCGGAUAAUAUAUUGAACCGCAUGGUUCAAUAGUGAAAGACGGUUUUGCUGUCACUUAUAGAUGGAUCCGCGCCGCAUUAGCUAGUUGGUAAGGUAACGGCUUACCAAGGCAACGAUGCGUAGCCGACCUGAGAGGGUGAUCGGCCACACUGGAACUGAGACACGGUCCAGACUCCUACGGGAGGCAGCAGUAGGGAAUCUUCCGCAAUGGGCGAAAGCUUGACGGAGCAACGCCGCGUGAGCGAUGAAGGUCUUCGGAUCGUAAAACUCUGUUAUUAGGGAAGAACAAAUGUGUAAGUAACUAUGCACGUCUUGACGGUACCUAAUCAGAAAGCCACGGCUAACUACGUG
This 497-nucleotide ribosomal RNA is filed under the name uncultured bacterium. Its description in RNAcentral is "partial 16S ribosomal RNA". It matches the Rfam family "Bacterial small subunit ribosomal RNA", at positions 28 to 507 of the family's 1533-position model. The record is from RNAcentral.